Molecule: ribosomal RNA, 496 nt
Filed under: uncultured bacterium
Lineage: Bacteria
Description: partial 16S ribosomal RNA
Rfam family: Bacterial small subunit ribosomal RNA
Source: RNAcentral
AUGAACGCUGGCGGCGUGCCUCAUACAUGCAAGUCGCGCGAACGGACGAGAAGCUUGCUUCUCUGAUGUUAGCGGCGGACGGGUGAGUAACACGUGGAUAACCUACCUAUAAGACUGGGAUAACUUCGGGAAACCGUAGCUAAUACCGGAUAAUAUUUUGAACCGCAUGGUUCAAAAGUGAAAGACGGUCUUGCUGUCACUUAUAGAUGGAUCCGCGCUGCACUAGCUAGUUGGUAAGGUAACGGCUUACCAAGGCAACGAUGCAUAGCCGACCUGAGAGGGUGAUCGGCCACACUGGAACUGAGACACGGUCCAGACUCCUACGGGAGGCAGCAGUAGGGAAUCUUCCGCAAUGGGCGAAAGCCUGACGGAGCAACGCCGCGUGAGUGAUGAAGGUCUUCGGAUCGUAAAACUCUGUUAUUAGGGAAGAACAUAUGUGUAAGUAACUGUGCACAUCUUGACGGUACCUAAUCAGAAAGCCACGGCUAACUACGUG